Non-coding RNA from Lonchura striata (white-rumped munia), 313 nucleotides. Lineage: Eukaryota; Metazoa; Chordata; Aves; Passeriformes; Estrildidae. The record is from RefSeq and is a predicted model, not a curated record.
UUUUGCAGUUUUUUCCAUCUUCUCUGUACAGAAGUUGUUCAGUGCCCAGUGGUGAACAGAAAAGCAGUUUUCUAGAAGCCAUGAAGAAAAGGAGAAGGAGUACCUCUACUGUGCCUGCCCCUUGCAUUAAUGAAGUUACAGCUGCCUCAUCUUGGAUAAGUAUUGCAUAGUGUUAAAUUAGCCAGAUGUGAAUGAAUGGAAGUACUGAAAAGGUGAAUAUACUUAGUCCACCUGAGAACCAGAGGCAGAAUUUGCUCUGUAUUUCACACUCUGGUCCAGGCACCACUUGCCCCAGCAGCCUGGCCUCAGGCUC